GUUGCCAAAAUAAGGCAGAGAAAAAAACCUGUGCAGAACAUUCCAUGCGGGAACAGAGCCAGUCGUCCGCACAGGUAAAGCUGCAGGGCUGCAUUAACAACAGGCUUGUAGGGGUUUUCUGGAGGGGGAUGUUUAUGUUGGCCUGUGAGGUGUGGUGGGUGAAUUCUGUCUGGGGAUGAUUGAUGCAUGUCUAAUGUGAUGAACCAUGACCCUGCAUCCCAGAGAAACUGUGGCUUUUCCUCAUUGAUCCAGUUUUUUGUAGGGAGGGGAGGUCCCGGUGCUUGUCUCAGUAGCUACGUGAAGACUGCGGGGGUUACUCCACAGGGAAGACUUAACUCUGGUGCAUCCAGGAAAAUCAGAACUUGGUACUAAAUAAUUAUAGCUAUCCAAAGGCAGCAUGGAUGUGCUUUUUUAUUUAAAUAUCCUUUAAAAUCUGCCAAAUCUUCUCAGGCUUGGACGAUGUGAGAGCGGCAAGCGCUGGUUCCCAUGCUUGCAUGGGACUUAUUGCAUGGACUGCAACAAGGGCAGUAAGAACAGGGCAGUAAGAACAGCUCCAGGGUCCAUCCCUGAGUAUUACCACGAUGGAUUUCUGCUGAGAGCAUGAGGGUGUGCGGUGAUCUGUGGAAAAAUGUGAAUCUUGGCAGCAGUCCCUAUUUCAAAAUAUCUGGGAAACACUGAGCCAGGAGGUUGAAAAUACAUCUUUGAGGGUUCUUUCUGCAGAAGGAAAACCAGCCUUGAACUUCCAUUGCGACAAGUGUUUGAGAGAAAAAAUGUGCAAUGCAGAAUUAAAAGGGACACUGAUUGAAACAACAGCAGAGAGGAAUAAGGCUGAGUGAAUUUUAAUAGCCUCUUGAUUUGGAUCUUUUUGUUUGCAUACUUACAGGCAUUUUACCUCUGCAAGAGUAAUGCAGAUACUAUACUAAAUGCAAAAAAACCCAACCAGCAAAUCCAAUAACUUGCCUGAGGGAGAUGAAAAAUGCACCAACAUAAUUGGAUAAGCUUUCUGCUGUAUUCCAGCCUUAAAACUGGAGUAGGGCCUUCUGUCUGUGGCGUGUGUUGGAGGAUGUUUUGCUAUAAGAUGGAUAUUAAGGCAGAGCUCAAGGAGGACUAAAGCAUCUAAAAUAUUUAAUACUCCUCUCGGAGAGCAGGUCAGCAAAUGAGCAGUGGUUUUGGUUGGUAGGAUGAACACAGUGUAAGGCAAAGUUGUUGUUAGCUGGUGUGAUUUUUGUAGUAUUGGAGUUCCAAUUGUACCAAAUUGUAUCACAGCUGUUUUGUUUGUUGUGUUAAGGGCUAUCAAACCCAGAAUGAAUGAGACAGCUACAGUCUUAAAUACAAGUUACUAAUAGCUCAUUGUAUAGAGACUUAGUUUUACUCUGGCAAAGGCUCCCUCCAAAAACCAGACCCAAUGUUCAGCCAAGUUGUAUUUUACCCACAUAAGCAUAAACCUGAGAAAGGAGCAAUCCUGUAUUCAUCUGCAGUGCUCCGUGCAGAGCAGGCAUCGCCUUGAUAAGGAUUUCUUGCUACUGCUACAAUACUAUGUUACAUGACAGAUAAUCUUGUGCCCAAACCCUGGGCAAGUGUCCAAGGUGAAAUAGGUGCAAACGUAUCAUUCAUACACAGGCUGAAGGGCUUGCACUGUGUACCUGAUGUGGUUUGUAUGUGGAAUCACGAGCCCAGUCAUCCCCCCUCUGCUGGGUACAAACUUCAUUGUUGACUUUAGGGAGAGCUGGGUGUUACAACAUGCUUAUUUUUUAUGGAAACAACCAUCCAAAGUCCUUGAAUGAAAAAAA
Molecule: long non-coding RNA, 1790 nt
Organism: Strigops habroptila (Kakapo)
Lineage: Eukaryota; Metazoa; Chordata; Aves; Psittaciformes; Psittacidae
Source: Ensembl